RNAcentral lists this ribosomal RNA (252 nucleotides) under uncultured Bacteroidales bacterium. Its description in RNAcentral is "partial 16S ribosomal RNA". It matches the Rfam family "Bacterial small subunit ribosomal RNA", at positions 524 to 776 of the family's 1533-position model. The record is from RNAcentral. Lineage: Bacteria; Pseudomonadati; Bacteroidota; Bacteroidia; Bacteroidales.
UACGUAGGGGGCAAGCGUUAUCCGGAUUUAUUGGGUUUAAAGGGUGCGUAGGCGGACGCUUAAGUCAGCGGUAAAAAUUCGGGGCUCAACCCCGUCGUGCCGUUGAAACUGAUGUUCUUGAGUGGGCGAGAAGUAUGCGGAAUGCGUGGUGUAGCGGUGAAAUGCAUAGAUAUCGCGCAGAACUCCGAUUGCGAAGGCAGCAUGCCGGCUCCACACUGACGCUGAGGCCCGAAAGCGUGGGUAUCGAACAGG